AUGAGCCCGCGUAGGAUUAGGUAGUUGGUGGGGUAAAGGCCUACCAAGCCGACGAUCCUUAGCUGGUCUGAGAGGAUGAUCAGCCACACUGGCACUGAGACACGGCCCAGACUCUACGGGAGGCAGCAGUGGGGAAUAUUGGACAAUGGGGGGAACCCUGAUCCAGCAAUGCCGCGUGAGUGAUGAAGGCCUUAGGGUUGUAAAGCUCUUUUACCAGGGAUGAUAAUCA
RNAcentral lists this ribosomal RNA (229 nucleotides) under uncultured Sphingomonadaceae bacterium. Its description in RNAcentral is "partial 16S ribosomal RNA". It matches the Rfam family "Bacterial small subunit ribosomal RNA", at positions 225 to 454 of the family's 1533-position model. Lineage: Bacteria; Pseudomonadati; Pseudomonadota; Alphaproteobacteria; Sphingomonadales; Sphingomonadaceae. The record is from RNAcentral.